AGAAGCUCUAAUUCCACUUGACAUAUAACCUAGAGAUAGUUUUAAAUGGAACAAAAAUCACCCUCAGCAUUUUCAACCGCUUAAUAUCAGCAUCACAAACUAUCACAGUGUCAUUUGCAUUUCGCAGGUGAGAUAUCUCCGGGCUUAUAUCAUUCCUAGUAGAGACAUUGAAGCCUUUUAUCCAGUUAGUUGAGUGUGUUUCUUCAACAUAUCAUUAAGAUCUUCUAUUGCA
This 232-nucleotide unclassified non-coding RNA is filed under the name Hevea brasiliensis (rubber tree). The record is from RNAcentral. Lineage: Eukaryota; Viridiplantae; Streptophyta; Magnoliopsida; Malpighiales; Euphorbiaceae.